GCCUUCAUCUGCACUGCAUCAUGAAAAUGGUGUGAUCUACAGCUCUGUAGAUGCAGCUACCAAAAACAACACUGUCUCUCCAGCAGGUGGCAAUGAUUGGGUGAUCUACAGCUCUGUGGUCACUAAUUGAGAGGUGUAAGCAGAUGGAUUUCUGGAGCAGAGAGGGUGCUGUAAUACAAGUAACGUGCAAAAUGAAUAUAGACUAUAGAUUAUCUGGCAUGUACAUGUACUCUUUUCCUUAGUCCUAUUAUG
This is a long non-coding RNA of Pygocentrus nattereri (red-bellied piranha), 252 nucleotides long. RefSeq lists it as uncharacterized. The transcript is spliced from 3 exons. Lineage: Eukaryota; Metazoa; Chordata; Actinopteri; Characiformes; Serrasalmidae. The record is from RefSeq and is a predicted model, not a curated record.